RNAcentral lists this ribosomal RNA (475 nucleotides) under uncultured Geobacter sp. Its description in RNAcentral is "bacterial SSU rRNA". It matches the Rfam family "Bacterial small subunit ribosomal RNA", at positions 73 to 526 of the family's 1533-position model. Lineage: Bacteria; Pseudomonadati; Thermodesulfobacteriota; Desulfuromonadia; Geobacterales; Geobacteraceae. The record is from RNAcentral.
CCGGAGCUUGCUCCGGUGAAAGUGGCGCACGGGUGAGUAACGCGUGGAUAACCUGCCCUGGUAUCUGGGAUAACAUCUCGAAAGGGGUGCUAAUACCGGAUAAGCCUACGGGAUCUUCGGAUUCUGCAGGAAAAGGAGGCCUCUAUUUAUAAGCUUCCGUAUCAUGAUGGGUCCGCGUACCAUUAGCUAGUUGGUGGGGUAAUGGCCUACCAAGGCGACGAUGGUUAGCUGGUCUGAGAGGAUGAUCAGCCACACUGGAACUGAGACACGGUCCAGACUCCUACGGGAGGCAGCAGUGGGGAAUUUUGGACAAUGGGGGCAACCCUGAUCCAGCCAUGCCGCGUGAGUGAAGAAGGCCUUCGGGUUGUAAAGCUCUUUCGGCCGGGAAGAAAUCGCAUCAGCUAAUACCUGGUGUGGAUGACGGUACCGGAAUAAGAAGCACCGGCUAACUACGUGCCAGCAGCCGCGGUAAUAC